This 351-nucleotide unclassified non-coding RNA is filed under the name plant metagenome. RNAcentral's name for it is "partial contains 5.8S ribosomal RNA, internal transcribed spacer 2, and large subunit ribosomal RNA". The stretch from base 1 to 106 matches the Rfam family "5.8S ribosomal RNA", at positions 49 to 154 of the family's 154-position model. The record is from RNAcentral.
CGAAAUGCGAUAAGUAAUGUGAAUUGCAGAAUUCAGUGAAUCAUCGAAUCUUUGAACGCACCUUGCGCUCCUUGGUAUUCCGAGGAGCAUGCCUGUUUGAGUGUCAUGGAAUUCUCAACUCUAUUUGCUUUUGUGAAUAGAGCUUGGAUUUGGAGGUUUAUUGCUGGUACUUGUGAUCGGCUCCUCUUGAAUGCAUUAGCUCGAACCUUUGCGGAUCAGCUAUCGGUGUGAUAAUUGUCUACGCCGUUGCAGUGAAGCAUAUCAAUGGGCUCGGCUUCCAAUCGUCCUUUACUGGACAAUGACUUUGACCUUUGACCUCAAAUCAGGUAGGAUUACCCGCUGAACUUAAGA